Molecule: non-coding RNA, 4284 nt
Organism: Malus domestica (apple)
Lineage: Eukaryota; Viridiplantae; Streptophyta; Magnoliopsida; Rosales; Rosaceae
Source: RefSeq, a predicted model, not a curated record
GUGGGGCUAGAACCCGGGUCCCUGAACCGACCUGUCCUAUGCUUUACUCGUUGAGUCCCCUUCUCUCUCUCUAAAUCUCAAUCUUAGAGUUUGGAUUUGGCAGUGGCACAACCAGUCAAGCUCAUCCUUUGUCCCCAUUUCUCUUGCUCAUCCCAACUCGAUGUCUCUAUCUCCCGACUUCGACCGUUGAAUAUGGCGUCGACAAUGACACGAGGCUCUAAAUCGGGGAUGUUUCGAGGCACCUGAGGGAUAUCAAAGAUCGAAGAUUGACGAUGAUGGCGCUAUGACGAUAAAGAACCUCGUUGAUGAUGGUGGGUUCUAGAUCAACGAAGAUGGAGCUUUACGCCUAUGAAAGUCGUCUCGAUGUUCUUCAACUAGUGGGACGAGAUCAACGAGUCCUCCUGGUGGCAGGACGACAUCUUCUACGCUUUAUGCACCGCCUACGCCCUCGUCUCCUCCGUCACUCUGGUCUCUCUUUGUCUAACUUCAUAUAUUUAGUGCAUAUGAUUCAAUUUCAUGCUUCUUAUCCAAGAUUUGAGCAAGAGAAGAGGCAAAUCUGAGUUAGGUAGCGUUGAAUCUCAUUGUGGGUGGCGAUUUGGAAUUGAGUUUGGUGGGUUUGGAUCUAAUGGUGAGGUGGGCAUGGAUGAAGACGGCCUUGAGUGGCGGUCGUUCGGGCAGUGCUAUUGAGUUGCAGAAGAAAUGAAUGAUCCCGAAAAGAAAAAAAAAGACUCGUGGACCCGAUGCGAACCGGUCCAUUUCAACCGGGCCAAGUUAGGUUCGGUUUCUUUAUUAAAAUAUGUUAUACCUGCCUCGGCUCAGCUCAUUUCUUUUAAACAAGGGUCCGGUCCCUUCAAAAUUGGGCCCGGCCCGGCCCAUGCCUAGCCCUAGAAGGAUCCCUUUUAUAUAAUAUAAGGGUUUCCUUCAGCUCAUACAUACAUUAUGGGCUAGGUCAUAAGGUCCAAAUACUAAGGCCAAAUAUAUGGUACAACAAAAUAUAAACUUUGUCGUUCUCUUAUGCACAAUUAACUUCAAUGACAAAUUGUGAUUUAAUAGUUGUUAGCAAAUUUUCUUGAAGAGAAGCCCACGCAGAGGAAACUAUAGAGACUGCUUUGGGAUCUGAUUGCAAAUCUCUUGGCUUGACCAAGGACAAAGUAGAUGCAACGUACGCCAACUUUUCUUUGAAAGAACUAUAAAUAUAAGCAGCAUCAAUGCUUUGCUUGUGGGAAAGUUACGUUCCUCUUAUAACUCUAUAAGUGCAGAGGUAUGAGUUUGUUGUAAGAAACUGAACUACUAUUGAAUUGUUGGUAUCAUUGUAUGUUGAUAUAGGAUUAUUUUUAUAUAUAGCUAUAUGGAGUGCCACUUGAUAAUUUUAGCGAUCGGCACACUGACAAAAAUAUAUGUACUUCAAAACUAGCCCUUUUCUAGGUAUUUUUCUUUUUUACUUCAACUUAAUGUUAUGAUAAUUUCUUUGAAUCGUUGUGUAGUGUUAGGUUGACUACCUCAUUGUCUUCUCCUCCUUUUGUUCACUUUGAUUAGACCCCCUUAUACCUUUCUUGAAUCCAAUUAUUAUGUUGUUUACUUCAUAUGACGUACUUCUUUACUUUGCUGUGUUUUUGUGCCCAUUUCAUCUUAUGGAAAAUUGUGUUUUGUGUCCAUUUAAUUGUCUAGGCAUUGUUCUGGUUGGAAUUUGGUUAUCUUUGUUUUAUUUUGUUUUCUUCUUUCUAUUAAACGGUAAGGACCUUUUUUCCAGUUUUUAUUUUGUGCUAAAGGCAAAAUGAGGCUUUGGUGUGGUGUAGAGGAAAUGGAUACAAGGUUAUUUAAGAUAUGUUAACUUCUCUGUGAUAAUUAAUUUUGGGGGGAGGGGAGUUAGUGGGUAAAUUUUGGUGGCUUAGGAGGAAAACUCAUUAUAAGUGGGCUUAGGAGCAAAGAAUCUGAUUGACAAGGAUUGCGCCUUUGUUAGGAUUUAGCACCUGUGAAGAUUUUUUUUUUUUGACAGGGAAUCAGUAUGGAAACACUGUUAUUUGAAGGAAGCAACAUUGUUGCAUAAGCUAUUGGAGGUUCUUGUACAAGCCUUUGGUGACAAACUAUUGGAGGAGGCAACAUUGUUGCAUAAGCUAUUUGGGCAGAUGUAAUUGAGCUGGGUCAUUCGAGUAUCUUGUGUAUUUGUACUCGGAGAAACAUUGCAUCUUUGGUGUAGGUAUAAAUUAUCAAGCUAGAAACUUAAUAGAGAUGUUUGAAUUUCUUUUGAGUGAUUUGAUUAGAAAGGAAUACUAGAAUCUCCAAAGAUAAAGAGGUGAUUACAUUGUGGAGUAGAGCAAUUUUGGGCUUCUUUGUAGGCAUUGGUAGCUGGAGAAUUUAGAGAUAUUUCUUUUUUUCCUCUUCACGCUAAUUGGAGAACUAUAGGUGAUUGAUUAUUUUUUGGUUUAUGCUUGCUGUGAUAGUUUGCAAACUAUAGAAAAGCUCAUUGUAUAUUGUUCUCUGUUGGCUUUUAUCUUUCUUGAUCUGGAAUAUUCCAUUUUCCUUAUUUCUUUUGUUUAGAUUGAUUUAGUGCACAACAAUGGUAUGAUAUGAAGGAUCAUGAGUUAAAGUUUGUUGUGUGCAUGCGAUGUCCUAAAUCAUACCACAUGAAAUGUCAUGUGAUGCCCUAAAUCACACCACAUGAAAUGUUUGCCCAAGUUCUCUUAAUGGUCUACUGGUUUUGUUUUGUUUUUAAUAUGCGAUUAUGGCUCUUGAUGCCAUAGUCCCUUUACUAUUGUGUCUAGAUGGUUGAUGCUAGUAUAACUUGUAUCAGAGGGAUUGGUUUUGAAAUGGGAGAAGGAAGAUUAAUAGCAAGAGCAUGCGAAGGUCUAUUACCUAACCGCAUCCUUAUAUAUUGCACGUAAGUAUUAUUUUCUCUAAUGAGCUUCUUCUCCAUGUUAUCUUGUUGGCUGCAGUUUUGCUGAGUGGUUUUGCCUUUUAUUCUAACCAAAACUACGGCAGACCUAUAUUAAGGGACCACUUAAAAUUCCCUAAUGUUGAAGUGAAAAAGAAUAUGGGUGAAAAAAAAAAGAAGAGAAAAUUGACAUUAGAGUCCCUUGUAGAGAGAGAAAAUGUCAUGUCUAAGAAGAGAACACUUCCCUUGGAAGAAUUACAUAGGAUAAAAACUGCUCUUGGACUAUCCAAGAAGAAGCAAAAGACAUUUUAUGCGAAAAUGGAUGACAGAAAAGUAUGUUCUGGGUUUGAUAUUCUGAGAAAUGUGCCAACAAAUACAUCAUCUAAAAUAGAACUUAAGACUUCCAUCUCCGGGGAAAACAAGUCUUCACUGGGUGGGCAGAGAAAGAGACAUUCUAGGAGCAUUGGUGAUGGAGUAUGCUAGAAGAGUCUCAACCGUGAGAAAAUUGGGACAAUGAUACAUUUCAAAAGCUGCAGCAUGGUGAAAGUGAAAAGAACAGAAGAGGAAUGGAUGAGAUUUCAUCAGUGAACAAAACAGAUAGUGGAAAUUUUCCUGCUAAUUAAUGAGAUGUGCAAUGAAAUGCCUACACCCACUAAGCGUGGUGAUAAUGAUAAUCAUAAUUCUGAGCUUGGUAUGCAGUUUGUAGCUGCCAGCGGUGGAAUCCAGGUCAACCUUCCUGACAACACAGUAAGAAGGUUCAUCACAAGUAGCAAUGAGCCCCAUUCUGGCAAUAGGGCUAUAAACUUGAAGCAUGUUAUCGAGUGCAUGAAAGACAUCUCAUAUAGACCACAUUGUAAUGAAAUGAUUGAAAUAUGUACAGGGGAGUCUGACUUGGGAAACGCAUCAGCUAUGGAGUCGAAUGCAUCUUGACUGGAUGGAUUUAACUGCUUAACAACGAGUGCUUUGGGAUCUGACUGACCUAUGUUGAGUAGAGACAAUUAUGAUCCGACAAAGGUUCGAUCUAGUUACUCUUGUAUCCCCGUGGGUUUUGCCCUUGGUUCUUACCUGACGUACUCACUCCAUAACUCAGCAGGUUGGGUUGAUGAGUAGUAAUUGUUUUGUCAUACCUCCUGUAGAUUCUGCCUUAUCUAUGUAUGAGCUUGUGAAUGUUUUGCUCUCUGAUUUCCUUGCCACUUCUACAACGUAGUUACUUCAUGAAGUUAUAUAUAAUACUACUACCCUUUUUUUUUGGUAGAAAUAAUACUACUACCCUUUGAGCACACGUACUUAGGAUUACUAUCUUAUAUUUUAAUUUAAUAAAAGAAAAAAGAAAUCAAUUUAUUAGACGGAAGUGUGAGGCCAUCUUCUACGCAAGACUUAUAAUUUUAGACCUAUAUUCUUAUAUAUGAGUC